Molecule: non-coding RNA, 29 nt
Filed under: Mus musculus (house mouse)
Lineage: Eukaryota; Metazoa; Chordata; Mammalia; Rodentia; Muridae
Source: RNAcentral
UGUGAAAUAUUCCUUAGGUCUCAGGGGCA